Lutra lutra (Eurasian river otter) is the source of this 1326-nucleotide long non-coding RNA. RefSeq lists it as uncharacterized. NCBI's taxonomy places the organism in Eukaryota, Metazoa, Chordata, Mammalia, Carnivora, Mustelidae. The transcript is spliced from 3 exons. The record is from RefSeq and is a predicted model, not a curated record.
UUUUUCCCUCCAUGGUUUUUGUGACAGUAGAAUGUUAUUUAUACUAUCGGUAAAUAAUUUUCAAUAGACUCAAAAAAGGGGGAAAAAUUUGCAGGUUGUCUAAAUAAGAAACCAGUAUUCUUGUUUUUGUUCUUGUUUAGAACUGAAAAAUAUUACCUUGUAUUUGGCUGAUAAACUAUUUCUGCUGUAUUUCUCAGCUCUUGGCCUGUUGCUAGCAAUUCUUGGUGACUAGCUAGUGCCUCCAGAUUUAGUUCUGCAAUCUUGAAGAAAAUAAAGUGGUAAAAAUCAUCUAAUUUCCUGCAAAGCAUCUGAGGUUUGAAAAUCAAAACACCACAAAGCAAAAAAAAAAAAAUCCAAGAAAAACUCACUCAAGUGGUGUUCUCUACUUCUGUAGACAGUGGCUUUGCCAUUGCCAUAGUCCCAGGUUGGCUUCAAUAGCUACCAGAUGGUUUCUGACCGUUUAGCCAAGAAUGACAAUCUGUUACCAGCUGCUGAUGUUGUUAUAUGAAUAUGGGAAAGGGCUAAGUAUAAAGGGAUGGCAAUUCUGGCUCAUCACUGAUCCCACAGUCAGUCACUUAGAAUUUACUUCUUUGUGAACGUGCCAUUUUUGGAAAUUAUAAAAGAAUGGCUUUUAUAGCAACAACAAAAAAAGACCUUUUAUUGGUUUAAUACAAAACCAGUUUAUUCUUCCAUAAAGUGGAAGACCACUUGGGAGUUGCAAUGCAGACAGUGAGAUACAAACUACUAUCAUUAUUUAUACAUAUAUGUUAUAAGACAUUUUAGAAUGUCUUUCUACCACUGCGACACAAAAUACUAUUCUGGAUGCUUAGGAUUCUACACAGACUACCAUGUAUUUCACAGUGGAGUUAUGAUAGAACAUAUCAUGCAAUGGGACAACCUAGUAAGUUAGAAUGCAUUGUAACAAGGUAUGUAAGAAACUGUCUCCUUCAAGGUUUCCCUCAUGUGCUGUCCUAAUCUACAUCCACUGAACUGCUGCUGAAACAACGGCAUGCUCCCCCACCCCAAAAGAGCAAAAUCUAUGUAGAUCUUUCAUAAUUAUUAUUACAAUUAUCAGCAUACAAUGAGCCACACAUUAUAGUGCUUAAUAUAUUCAAGGCACUGUACUACUAGCUUUAUAUAAGAUACCUCAUUUACCCGCACCAAUAUCCCACAGAAAUGUGUUUCCAUUUUACAGAUGUAGUAACUGAAUUUCCUUGGAGAAAUUGACCCAGAUUAUGUAACUAAUAACUAAGCUAAACAUAGUACUAUCUUUUUUUUCCUUUAAGAUUUUAAAAUAGGGGCGCCUGGGUGGCUCAGUGGGUUAAG